GCGCGCACGGCGAGGUGGUCGUGCCGCUCGACGUUCAGGGUGCCGAAGCGUCGUUGCGCCGCGUGUUCGACUCGGGCGUGCGUGCGC
This 87-nucleotide transfer RNA is filed under the name Burkholderia contaminans. RNAcentral describes it as "tRNA-Leu". Lineage: Bacteria; Pseudomonadati; Pseudomonadota; Betaproteobacteria; Burkholderiales; Burkholderiaceae. The record is from RNAcentral.